GCUGGUUUGGCUCAUUAGAUAGAGCAUCAGCCUGUAGACUGAAGGGUCCUGGGUUCGAUUCCAGUCAACAGCA
This is a non-coding RNA of Myotis brandtii (Brandt's bat), 73 nucleotides long. NCBI's taxonomy places the organism in Eukaryota, Metazoa, Chordata, Mammalia, Chiroptera, Vespertilionidae. The record is from Rfam.